CAGGAGUUUCCAAAAGCACACGGGUGAUUAGCUGUGCUCUUUUCCUGUGCUUUACGCAUCUGAUCCUUUCUGAACAACUGAAGUCCAUAAAGAAAAAUAAGAGAUGAGACAAAAUGAAAGGAGGUAGAUGGAGAUUUUGCAGUUUGGAACAAUAUCAAUAGAUACACAGGAUGCAGCUCAGGAUACAUUAUCGUGUCCUGUCAGGCAGCAGGAGGAUAAGAACUCCAUAUUUUGAUGACACGACUAACUGGAUCAUUCUGCAUUUGUCUAGAAGCAGGUGCCAGCAAAGAUGGAUUAAAAUAUAUAUAUAUAAAAAAUACCUACCUUUUACCACUGAUAACUGAGUAAAGAUCUGAAGCCUGUGCAGAAGGGUUUUCGAAACAAACAAGUUGGAACAACUUUCUUUCAAUAUCAUCAAGAAAUUCCUGCAAGAUGCUACUGAUGCUAUUUGGACCAAAUCUUUCCAUGUGACUACAAAAGAGAAUAAAUAAGCUCUUAUGAAUUGAAGUUGAACUAAUGACAGCCUGUGUAUCCCAGAGCGUGAUAAAUUAUAGUUUGCUGCUGGCAGCAGGAACUGUUCAAACACAUAUUUCUGCAUUAUGACAAUUUCU
Molecule: long non-coding RNA, 611 nt
Filed under: Gallus gallus (chicken)
Lineage: Eukaryota; Metazoa; Chordata; Aves; Galliformes; Phasianidae
Source: RNAcentral